This 377-nucleotide long non-coding RNA is filed under the name Numida meleagris (helmeted guineafowl). Its description in RNAcentral is "lncRNA (ENSNMEG00000010146.1)". Lineage: Eukaryota; Metazoa; Chordata; Aves; Galliformes; Numididae. The record is from RNAcentral.
AGGUGGGAGGGGAAGUAGGAAGGAAAGGGUUGUGAGUGCUGCAGCACGAUGGCCACAGUGCUGCAACUCCAGCUUCCAUGGUGCUUCUGGUCUUGAAGACGGAUGAACAGAAGUGAGCUGUAGCCUGUUCAGACAACUCGCCUGCCAUGGAGAGAUGAUGUACCGAGGAACCUCAGGCCAGGCUGUCUGUCAGUAUGAUACUGUGAGGUGUAAUGGAGAUGUGUUCUGCCAAAGACUGAAGAAGAGGUAGUCCUUCAGAGAGACAAGGAAUGCUAAGCAGCAGAGUCCAUUUAAAUGAAAUGCAUUUUAAUGGUGAGGAAUGUGAACAGUGGUGGAGCCACCUAAGCAUUGGUUGCUGCAUGGAUAUCCUGGGAGCC